Molecule: long non-coding RNA, 3948 nt
Filed under: Mytilus galloprovincialis (Mediterranean mussel)
Lineage: Eukaryota; Metazoa; Mollusca; Bivalvia; Mytilida; Mytilidae
Source: RNAcentral
AAGUUUUUAACCUCUCUUUUUUUAUGCAUUUUUUUAUAAUUUAUUUUCAUGCUGGAGCAUUCUUACUUUUUAUGAAAAUUUUAUGCAUUUUUGAUAACAUUGUUUUGUGCAAAAUGAUAGCAAUAUAUAAUGAUUGUGAUCCUAUAUGGUUGUAAUAUUUUCUAACCCAUUUAUUGGUCAGUAUUUUGACCAUAAGACUACAAGUAGUGAUUGUUUAUUGUGAUUAUGAACUUUAUUUAUUUAUUUUAUACAACAUGUUGUAAAUUCAUUGAUUGUCAUAUUUCACAACACUUUCCUGAACCCUGUUAAAUUUAAAUAUUUUAGAUAAGUGAUUAAAAUCUGAACAUUUUCUUGACUUCAAAUGUCAGCAUUACUCAGAUACUAUUCAAAACUUGUAUAUAGAUAUAUUUAAGGUCAUCACUUUGACAUGUAUGAAGCAAUGACCUCAUUCUCAUGACCACUGCACUAUCUUUGGUUUAAAUUUAUAGAAUAUCCUCAAAAAUUUUAGAUUCAUGAUGUGAAUUUAGUAAUAAGAUCUUCGAAAAUUAAACUUUGUUUAAGAACCAUUUUAAAUUACCACUUACACAAGUAGCAUCAGACAUGGCUAGCAAUAAUUUAACAAAAAGCAAAAUUUCAAACAGAUUUACACUUAUUUGACUAUACUUGAAUUCAAGUAAUUCACUGUAGAUAAUAUAACAAAUUUAAAAUAGUUUAAUUAAUUAGACUUCUAUGACAUGUAUGAUGGUGUUUGCUACAAGAUUACAACACAAGGAAAUGCUUCUGAACGAUUUCAAUAUCUAUAAAAAAAAAAAUAACUAAACUUGUAUUUUGUAAAUGUAGUAGAGGAAUUGUGACAAUCAAUGAACAAUAUCUAUCUUUAUUGUAAUUUAUAUGUAUAACUAUCAUGUAUUCAUCAGUCAACAGGACUUGUGCCAUAGUAAUUAAAAUACCAAAAAAUAUAUACAUAUAGAAAACAAUUGUUAUGGGAAACAAACAUUUCAUUGAUGACAAACAGAUAUUUUAACUUUAAAGAUUUCAGCUUUUUAUGCCCAAUGGCAAAUGUGAAUUGGACUAUUAUCAUGAAUAUAUAUUAACCAUUUUCUUUUUAUAUGUGUAGCUGUACAUGUCAAGCCAGAUUGAGUUCAUUUGUUUUAAGUCUGUUUCUCAGGAACCAGUUUCAGAAAAAUCAGUGAUGUUUCACUAUAUAACAUGUAUAAUACAACAAUAUGUGAGCUGUGUUGGAUAAAAAUCGACCUUAUGCAAAUGAAUAUUAAUACAUCAUUAAACCUAUUUUGGGUUGAACAAAUCUCUAUGCAAAGUCUGUAAGUUUUUAUGGCCCCGCAACGAAAUUGUCGGUGCCAUAUAGUUUUACCCUUGUCCGAAAUUCCGUAAUUCCGAUAUUCCGAAAUUCCGUAAUUAUGUCAUUCUGAUAUUUCGCAACAAACCAUUAUACAGAGUUUUUUUUUAAACGCCAUCAGAUAUUAGGCUGAUUUUUUGGUAUGUGAGUUAACCAUGAUGAGUUACAGAUCAAGUUUAAGUUUCAUUCUGCUCCACUAAUUUUUGCCGAAAUUACAGACUUUGGACUUUUAGAAAUUGUUGAAAAUCACAGUUAUACCAACUUUUUUUCUAAUUGCCUUCAGAUAUUGGGCUGAUUUUUUAUCUGUGAGUUAACCAUGAUGAGUUACAGAUCAAGUAUAAGUUUUGUUCCGCUUUGCUAAUUUUUGCUGAAAUUACAGGCUUUGGACUUUGAUAAAUUAUUGAAAAUUAUAGUUAUACAGAUUUUUUUUUCUUUACACCUCCAGAUUUAGAGCUGAUUUUUGAUAUGUGAGACUACCAUCAUGUUUGUGGCCACAUGUGUUAUUGAAAUCGCAGAUUUUUCAACUUUUUGGGACGGGGGCCAUUCGUGUCGCUUUGACACAUCUAGUUGACAAUUGAGUUGUUAUAACAACCCUAAAAAAUAUCAAAACUUAUCUUUUAUUUCAACUUAUAAUGUUUCAAAGUCAAUCAAUUUUAUAUACAUUUACAUGUACAUAUAUGUGCACUUGCAUAAGGUCUAUUUCUAUAGAUGCAGCUCAGUCAUGUUGAACAGGAUUUAUUUCUUCAGUAACAUACAAAUUUUUAUAAAUGGUUCCAUUGUUAGAAACCAAUAAUUCUAUAUAAGCGAUACUUUAUAUUGCAUCUACUUUUUAACAUACAAUACAAACAGAAUGUUAUAUAGCUUUUCAAAUCACAUAUUAUCCUGAAAGCUGUGCUCCAGGGAAAUAAUUUGUUGAGGGUAUACUUGAAACACUUGUGUCACUCAAACGACUUUAAAGUAGUCUCCCUUAUCAAUUACCUAUAUUAAAGUCAAAGGAUAAUUAAAGUUGUAAAUCAGAGAUUUUUCUUACUUUUGAACAUUUUUCGUCACAACAACAGUUUUCUUUUCUAAACUAUCUUUAAAAGGAGAGGAGACGUCAAAAGUUUGCUUCAAACACAUGCGUCGCAAAGUAGUAAAUAAAUUCUGUAUGUGACAUUUAGCGGAAGCCAUUUAACCAUAUCAUUUUGUCAAACAAUUCAAUCAACACCUUUAUUAAUUAGUCCUUUGUUGUAGAUAGCUAUAAAAUGCAAUCAGCUGAUUAUUGAUUUUCUGUCCAAAUCUUAAUGAGGUCAAGGUGACUUCCGAGUAUUGUCUGAUCGGCUAAAGUCCGAGAAACUCGAAAAAAGUAGAUAAACAAGAUUGAGUAAAAUAAAUUGCUAUACUUAUUUCUUUCGCCAAAUUCUUUCGCAAAUGAGGAAUUUUUUUCGCCACAAUUAUUAUUUUUUCGCAAAUUGCAAAAAUGGCGACCGCCAGCGGAAACCCUGGUUGGCACAGUGGCUGAUAUUGGAAAGGCCAUAUCACAUACUCUUUAUUAUAUAGUUCAUUCUGUCGGGUUUUAAAAUAUAUGUGCAACCAUGACUGAAGUUAAUAUAAUGAUGGAUGGAUGAUACAGAGGGAUUGCCAUUGAUUUUAUUACACAUGAACAAAAUACUUGUUUCUUCGAUAUAACCUAUAUUUAAAACAAUUAGGUUCCUGUGACCUACAUUUUACACAUUCUUUUACUAUGUUGAAAAUUGCAUUUUUAACUUAAUUUCAGUAAAUGUUUCUAAGGUAAAAAGUUUUUUUUUUUUACUGUACAUUACCAAAUUGAUAUAAAUACGUCAGAAAGAAAGAAUUAUUGAUUUACAAAUAAUUCAUUACAAUUUAUUGAAGGUUUCUAGAUCUGUGUAAAUUAUAACAGGUAUAUAGAAAAGUGCUUUCCACCGAUAAAAUUGUAGGAUUUCAGGUUUCUUAAUUGUUAAUAAUGAAUGUAAAACAUGUAGGUACAAAUCACUAAAUAGAAUGAACCCUAUAUAAAAACAAAAUGUGGUCCCUGACUCCCUAAUCCCUAUACAUAUUUUGCAUAUUAGACAAUUUGAAUCUCAAACGAUAAUGGCAUUUUGUGAACAUAGAGAAAUAGACAUAUGUAUAACUUUACCAGUGGUUAAAGGGAGUGGGAUAAUUCCUUAAUGAGCUUAAUAACAUGUGUACAAAAUCCUGAUAUAAGAUUAUUUUAAACUCUUGAUAAAUAAUUUUUAGGAAUAGGAAGAGGUAACAACUGACAAAUCUUGUUUACCUUUCUUAUUCAAUCUUCUCUCAUCAAUCUAUCCUUUUUCAAUUUUCAUAGAAAACCAAAGAAGUUAAAACAUUUUUACAACAGGUGCUUGCUUUCUUUCAGAUCUCAUAUAUAUAUAUUUAUCUCACUUAAACCAUUGACAUUGUAUACAGUGUAUUAAGUUAUUUUUUCUUUGGUGCAAAAAUGAACCUAAUGUGUGUUUUAUUUCUCAUGUGUAAUAGAUUUUCUACAUUUUCAGUAAUCAUUGAUAUAAUUUUUAGUGAUAUAUUGUACAUACAUGUAUUUGAUGUAAUUGUAAAGAGAUAAAAAUGUACAU